UACAGAGGGGGCAAGCGUUGUUCGGAAUUACUGGGCGUAAAGGGUGCGCAGGCGGUUAUAUAAGACAGAUGUGAAAUCCCCGGGCUCAACCUGGGAACGUGCGUUUGUGUACUGUAUGACUAGAGUACGGUAGAGAGGGGUGGAAGUUCCGUUCGGUGGUAGCAGUGAAAUGACGUAGAUAUCAGGAGGAACAUCGAUGGCGAAGGC
RNAcentral lists this ribosomal RNA (207 nucleotides) under uncultured bacterium. Its description in RNAcentral is "partial 16S ribosomal RNA". It matches the Rfam family "Bacterial small subunit ribosomal RNA", at positions 524 to 722 of the family's 1533-position model. The record is from RNAcentral.